Non-coding RNA from Caenorhabditis elegans, 150 nucleotides. NCBI's taxonomy places the organism in Eukaryota, Metazoa, Nematoda, Chromadorea, Rhabditida, Rhabditidae. The record is from Ensembl.
CUUCACAUUCCCAUUCAUCUUGCUUCCUUUUUCCACACUGCCUCCCGUCCCAAGUCGGAAGGCGUUUUCCGGUGUGCACAUUGUGUUUCGCGACUGUGUGUCAAACGCGAGGGCACAGUGUCAUGCGAUAAAUGUUCCUAGUUAGAGUGC